GGGUGAUAACUGAUUUAUAGAAAAGGGAGAAAUUUAAAAUAGAGAGGAGCCGCACGAUUGUGAGAAAAACCAGUUCUAGAAACGGCUUUAGAUCGGAAAUCAUCUGAGGCAUUGAAGAAGGGAAAAGCAUUGGAGAAGUAGCUGGUCUGACUUUAGUUCUUCGGUGGAGCAAGUGUACCAUCGACUUCGACUCGCCCUCAGCUCUAGCCAGUCUCCAGUACAUCAGAUUUCAGGGUGAGCUAUUCCUUCGAGCUCGUGCUGGAUUCUCUCAGUUAUGGCAUGAUGUCUUUGAAUUUCAGACAUGGACCAUCGUAUUUACUUAUUUUGGGGUCUCUAAUACUUUUAGACUUGAUAUGUUAAGAACAGAUGUCCUUGAUGUGAUGACUUUCAGAUUUUGGGGAUAAUAUGUAAUAGACUUUAGAGGUUUAUUUGAUUGGUUACUUUAAUAAGUUUGGAGCUUCCGCGUUAUUGUUGUUAGUGGUAGUUAAAUUAUUG
Long non-coding RNA from Solanum stenotomum, 495 nucleotides. RefSeq lists it as uncharacterized. The transcript is spliced from 3 exons. NCBI's taxonomy places the organism in Eukaryota, Viridiplantae, Streptophyta, Magnoliopsida, Solanales, Solanaceae. The record is from RefSeq and is a predicted model, not a curated record.